UGUCUCCUACGGGGGGCAGCAGUGAGGAAUAUUGGUCAAUGGGCGAGAGCCUGAACCAGCCAAGUCGCGUGAGGGAAGACGGUCCUAUGGAUUGUAAACCUCUUUUGUCGGGGAGCAAAAAGGCCUCGUGAGGCCACAAGCGAGAGUACCCGAAGAAAAAGCAUCGGCUAACUCCGUGCCAGCAGCCGCGGUAAUACGGAGGAUGCGAGCGUUAUCCGGAUUUAUUGGGUUUAAAGGGUGCGUAGGCGGACUGGAGAGUCAGCGGUAAAAUCGAGAGGCUCAACCUCUUUCCGCCGUUGAAACUG
RNAcentral lists this ribosomal RNA (305 nucleotides) under uncultured bacterium. RNAcentral describes it as "bacterial SSU rRNA". It matches the Rfam family "Bacterial small subunit ribosomal RNA", at positions 333 to 635 of the family's 1533-position model. The record is from RNAcentral.